GGAUUGCCCUAGUAACGGCGAAGUGAAGCGGCAACAGCUCAAAUUUGAAAUCUGGCUUCGGCCCGAGUUGUAAUUUGCAGAGGAUGUUUAUGGUGCGGUACCUUCCGAGUUCCCUGGAACGGGACGCCACAGAGGGUGAGAGCCCCGUCUGGUUGGAUACCAAACCUGUGUUAAACUCCUUCAACGAGUCGAGUAGUUUGGGAAUGCUGCUCUAAAUGGGAGGUAAAUCUCUUCUAAAGCUAAAUACCGGCCAGAGACCGAUAGCGCACAAGUAGAGUGAUCGAAAGAUGAAAAGCACCUUGAAAAGGGGGUUAAACAGUACGUGAAAUUGUUAAAAGGGAAGCGUUUAUGACCAGACUUGUGUCGUGUGGCUCAUCCGAGGUUCUCCCCGGUGCACUCCACACGGCUCAGGCCAACAUCGGUUUUCGUUGGGGGAUAAGAACAGUAGGAACGUGGCCCUUUUCGGAGGGUGUUAUAGCCUGCUGUACGAUACCCUGAUGGGGACCGAGGACCGCGCUUCGGCUAGGAUGUUGGCGUAAUGGUCAUUAGCGACCCGUCUUGAAACACGGACCAAGGAGUCGUCCAUUAGAGCGAGCGUUUGGGUGUAAAACCCGCACGCGUAAUGAAAGUGAAAUUAGGUGAGAGCUUCGGCGCAUCAUCGACCGAUCCUGAAGUUUACGGAUGGAUUUGAGUAAGAGUUUUAACGGACGGACCCGAAAGACAGUGAACUAUGCUUGAAUAGGGUGAAGCCAGAGGAAACUCUGGUGGAGGCUCGCAGCGGUUUCUGACGUGCAAAUC
This 798-nucleotide ribosomal RNA is filed under the name Plagiostoma lugubre. RNAcentral's name for it is "LSU rRNA". It matches the Rfam family "Eukaryotic large subunit ribosomal RNA", at positions 72 to 899 of the family's 3401-position model. The record is from RNAcentral. Lineage: Eukaryota; Fungi; Ascomycota; Sordariomycetes; Diaporthales; Gnomoniaceae.